AAGUCGUAACAAGGUUUCCGUAGGUGAACCUGCGGAAGGAUCAUUAAUGAAUUUUUUACCAGGAGUUGAUGCUGGCUUUGCUGCAUGUGCUCGCUCCUGGGUUUUAAUCCUUCAUACACCUGUGCAUACCUGAGGGCUCGAGGCAGCUAUAGUUGUCUCGCUCUCGCUUCUACACAAAUUCUUUUUCGAAUCAUCGAACGUGAUCAGGCCUAAAAAGCCAUAAACUUAUACAACUUUUAACAACGGAUCUCUUGGCUCUC
RNAcentral lists this unclassified non-coding RNA (260 nucleotides) under air metagenome. RNAcentral's name for it is "partial contains small subunit ribosomal RNA, internal transcribed spacer 1, and 5.8S ribosomal RNA". The stretch from base 1 to 46 matches the Rfam family "Eukaryotic small subunit ribosomal RNA", at positions 1786 to 1831 of the family's 1831-position model. The record is from RNAcentral.